GACGAACGCUGGCGGCGCGCUUAACACAUGCAAGUCGAGCGAGAACCAGUCCUUGGGACUGGGACGAGCGGCGAACGGGUGAGUAACACGUGGGUAAUCUGCCCUCGAUUCUGGGAUAGCCCGGGGAAACCCGGGAUUAAUACCGGAUAGCCUCUCGAGCUUUCGUAGCUUGUGAGAAAAGGUAGCUUCGGCCUCCGAUCGAGGGAUGAGCCCGCGGCGGAUUAGCUUGUUGGUGGGGGUAAUGGCCACCAAGGCGACGAUCCGUAGCUGGUCUGAGAGGACGAUCAGCCACACUGGGACU
RNAcentral lists this ribosomal RNA (301 nucleotides) under uncultured bacterium. RNAcentral describes it as "bacterial SSU rRNA". It matches the Rfam family "Bacterial small subunit ribosomal RNA", at positions 28 to 320 of the family's 1533-position model. The record is from RNAcentral.